GAUGAACGCUGGCGGCGUGCCUAAUACAUGCAAGUCGAGCGAACAGACGAGGAGCUUGCUCCUCUGACGUUAGCGGCGGACGGGUGAGUAACACGUGGAUAACCUACCUAUAAGACUGGGAUAACUUCGGGAAACCGGAGCUAAUACCGGAUAAUAUAUUGAACCGCAUGGUUCAAUAGUGAAAGACGGUUUUGCUGUCACUUAUAGAUGGAUCCGCGCCGCAUUAGCUAGUUGGUAAGGUAACGGCUUACCAAGGCAACGAUGCGUAGCCGACCUGAGAGGGUGCUCGGCCACACUGGAACUGAGCCACGGUCCAGACUCCUACGGGAGGCAGCAGUAGGGAAUCUUCCGCAAUGGGCGAAAGCCUGACGGAGCAACGCCGCGUGAGUGAUGAAGGUCUUCGGAUCGUAAAACUCUGUUAUUAGGGAAGAACAAAUGUGUAAGUAACUAUGCACGUCUUGACGGUACCUAAUCAGAAAGCCACGGCUAACUACGUG
RNAcentral lists this ribosomal RNA (497 nucleotides) under uncultured bacterium. RNAcentral describes it as "partial 16S ribosomal RNA". It matches the Rfam family "Bacterial small subunit ribosomal RNA", at positions 28 to 507 of the family's 1533-position model. The record is from RNAcentral.